GCUUGGAUAGUUGGGCAUUGAAGAUCGCGAACCCGGUCAGGUUUGGAAAAAAGCAGCCGUAGUGAAACUAAGAUGGGUCAGCUAUCCUGUUUAU
This 94-nucleotide signal recognition particle RNA is filed under the name Holosporaceae bacterium. RNAcentral describes it as "signal recognition particle sRNA small type". It matches the Rfam family "Bacterial small signal recognition particle RNA". From Rfam's summary of the family: The signal recognition particle (SRP) is a universally conserved ribonucleoprotein involved in the co-translational targeting of proteins to membranes. Archaeal SRP consists of a 7S RNA and homologues of the eukaryotic SRP19 and SRP54 proteins. Lineage: Bacteria; Pseudomonadati; Pseudomonadota; Alphaproteobacteria; Holosporales; Holosporaceae. The record is from RNAcentral.